Molecule: ribosomal RNA, 468 nt
Filed under: uncultured bacterium
Lineage: Bacteria
Description: partial 16S ribosomal RNA
Rfam family: Bacterial small subunit ribosomal RNA
Source: RNAcentral
GACGAAUGCUGGCGGCGUGCUUAACACAUGCAAGUCGAACGGAAAGGCCCUGCUUUUGUGGGGUGCUCGAGUGGCGAACGGGUGAGUAACACGUGAGUAACCUGCCCUUGACUUUGGGAUAACUUCAGGAAACUGGGGCUAAUACCGGAUAGGAGCUCCUGCUGCAUGGUGGGGGUUGGAAAGUUUCGGCGGUUGGGGAUGGACUCGCGGCUUAUCAGCUUGUUGGUGGGGUAGUGGCUUACCAAGGCUUUGACGGGUAGCCGGCCUGAGAGGGUGACCGGCCACAUUGGGACUGAGAUACGGCCCAGACUCCUACGGGAGGCAGCAGUGGGGAAUAUUGCACAAUGGGCGGAAGCCUGAUGCAGCAACGCCGCGUGCGGGAUGACGGCCCUCGGGUUGUAAACCGCUUUCGCCUGUGACGAAGCGUGAGUGACGGUAAUGGGUAAAGAAGCACCGGCUAACUACGUG